This 460-nucleotide ribosomal RNA is filed under the name uncultured bacterium. RNAcentral's name for it is "partial 16S ribosomal RNA". It matches the Rfam family "Bacterial small subunit ribosomal RNA", at positions 338 to 795 of the family's 1533-position model. The record is from RNAcentral.
CCUACGGGAGGCUGCAGUGAGGAAUAUUGGUCAAUGGACGAGAGUCUGAACCAGCCAAGUAGCGUGAAGGAUGACGGCCCUAUGGGUUGUAAACUUCUUUUAUAUGGGAAUAAAAUGUUCCACGUGUGGGCUUUUGUAUGUACCCUGUGAAUAAGGCUCGGCUAACUCCGUGCCAGCCGCCGCGGUAAUACGGAGGAGCCGAGCGUUAUCCGGAUUUAUUGGGGUUAAAGGGAGCGUAGGUGGAUUGUUAAGUCCGGUGUGAAAGUUUGCGGCUCAACCGUAAACUUGCCGUUGAACCUGGCAGUCUUGAGUACAGUAGAGGUGGGCGGAAUGCGUGGUGUAGCGGUGAAAUGCUUAGAUAUCACGCAGAACUCCGAUUGCGAAGGCAGUUCACUGGACUGCAACUGACACUGAGGCGCGAAAGUGUGGGUAUCAAACAGGAUUAGAUACCCUAGUAGUC